AUACGGAGGGUGCAAGCGUUAUUCGGAAUCACUGGGCGUAAAGGGUGCGUAGGCGGUUUGAUAAGUCUGAUGUGAAAUCCUAUGGCUCAACCAUAGAGCUGCAUUGGAAACUGUCAGACUAGAAUACUGAAGGGGCAGAUGGAAUUAGUGGUGUAGGGGUAAAAUCCGUAGAUAUCACUAGGAAUACCGAAAGCGAAAGCGAUCUGCUGGGAAGUUAUUGACGCUGAGGCACGAAAGCGUGGGGAGCAAACGGGAUUAGAUACCCUAGUAGUCC
Molecule: ribosomal RNA, 274 nt
Filed under: uncultured bacterium
Lineage: Bacteria
Description: partial 16S ribosomal RNA
Rfam family: Bacterial small subunit ribosomal RNA
Source: RNAcentral